AUGUAUGGCAAGCCUGUCCGCCGCAUCGGCGACGGCUACGUCGAUAACGUUACACCAGAAACCGUGAAGGAGGACAUACUCCUCCUGCUCGACGACAUCCACGGCUUCUACAAGGCGGCGCUCGAUCGGCUGCCUGUAAAGAGGAUGCCCGCGCUGGCUCCCUGCCUUCUCAAGGCCGGCGUGUGCUUCGGCUUCCUCGACCCAGUCUCCAACAUCAUGCUCAACACCAUCGCCUACUCGCAGCGGUUGCCCAGCACCGAGAGUCAAGAAGGGGCCACUAGAAAGUCGAUCUUCUCCAAGAUCUCCACUGACACUCAGGAUCGCAGAAUUUUCCGGAUACCGCUGCCCGGACACAUGGCGGGCGGCAUGACCAUCGCGCGGCUGUCGCUGGAAGGUCUGGUCAGCUUCCUCCUGUUCCACUUCCGCUACCUCGCGGAGACGGAAGCCCUGCGCUACCUGCGCCUGGCCAGGGCCGACCUUGUCGCCGCCGUGCAUCUCAUCAACCAAGAUCGUAACAAGUCGUGUUCGGCGUCUGGCAUUGCCAAGAUUCACAACAGGCCCGCGUUCGACAUUACAUCUCCUACCUCCAAGGUUGCCCUGGAGUGUGCCGCUGCCUCUGCGAGGCACCCUGAACCAGCCAUCCUGGUGAACGCGUCGCUGUCGGCGGUGUCUCGGCUGAGCAAGGUCUCUAGCCUUUUGCAGGUGCAUCGCCUGCCCCCUCGAACUAUAAGGCGCCUGGAGCUGUUGCUCAGGCGAGAGCCUAAAGUUAUGGAUCAAAUGGCCAUAAGGCGUCCGCUGAAUCUUGCUGGGUCACGUCUCCGUGAUGGAAAGGAGGAGAAGAGGGAUCUUGCUGGAUCUAUGGUGAGCGUUGCACAUGGGAAGGUAGAGAUCGAUGUGACUGUGACAUAUAGAUAUACAGAGUCUCUUAAGCUGUUGCUUCUCGACAAGAUCCACCUGCUCUACCUAGAUGCACUUUCUAAGUUUCCUAGGGAUAGCUUGCGCAAACAUCACCAUUGCAACCUUCUCAGGGCUGGUUAUUGCUAUGGUCUAAUGGAACCUGUCUCCAACAUCAUUUUCAACACCAUCUGGUACCUCAAUGCCUUUAGGGAAGCAGCUGUUAAUUCAUGGCACCCUCUCCCUAAAGCACUGGAGAAAUUCAUCCUGUCAGCCCUGAACAUGAAUUCGACUGAGUUGUCAACGAUGCUGACCCAUGCAGUCAAGAACUGCAGAUUUGAGGGACUUGCCAUGUCUGUGUCACCUAAAUCUUCACCUACCAAGUCAGAAGAGCAGGUUCAACAACUGGACAAGUUGGCCUCGAGCUCGGAGUUCUUAUCUGAAAACCAAAAAAUGUUCAUUUCAGAGAUUCAGAAAAAAUUUAAGGCUGACCAAAAUUUCUAUGUCAGGAAGGUCAAAGCUGCGUUGAAGAGCUACUCCCAGAAACAAGGGGUGUACUAUGAGCUUCAUGUUAUUUGUGGCGUGAAUCCUCAUGCGGUCAAGGGUGGAACUGCUGAUCUUUUUAAGAAAAAGGGCAAAUUUGAAUACUCCCACAUCAACUUUUGGGCAACACGCGAGGGAUCAAAUUCUGCUGCCACAGAUCCAGUACUGUUCUUCGCUGAAUGCAGCAAUGAUGAUGAAGAUGACAAGGAAACACCUCCCCUGUGUGUACCAGUAUUUAGUUCUUGGAUCUCUGAUGUUCGUUGCUUCCACUGCGAGUUUCUAGGGAAAAAAAUUGUUCACCCAUAUCAUGAAUCAUAUUAUGGGCGUUACGAGGACUUUGUUGGAAUGGCUCGUGGAGACCAUAGCAUUUGCAAUGAAGAAAUUAUCAGUGCAUGCGACUUCCAUGCUGAUAUGAUGUGCACAUUAAAAGAGGAUUGGAUCUUUUUUGAUCCCAACAUGGAUGCUAUGAUUGCUCGAGCGAAUCCCAUUAAGAAUUUGUCUACGGAGAUGGUGAAAUGGAAGAACAGAAUCUUUUGA
Molecule: ribosomal RNA, 1974 nt
Filed under: Triticum aestivum (bread wheat)
Lineage: Eukaryota; Viridiplantae; Streptophyta; Magnoliopsida; Poales; Poaceae
Description: partial small subunit ribosomal RNA
Source: RNAcentral